Long non-coding RNA from Oncorhynchus tshawytscha (Chinook salmon), 337 nucleotides. The record is from Ensembl. NCBI's taxonomy places the organism in Eukaryota, Metazoa, Chordata, Actinopteri, Salmoniformes, Salmonidae.
GUUUUCUAUCGCGUGUUGUGAAACAAACAUCAGCAUGUUAAGGGACUUCUACGCAUUUAACAGGCAAUUGAAAACGGGGAACUAUCCUAGCGUGGAGAAAGUCUCUAUAGCGGUGGAUAAACAGUCAAUACGGUUUUCUCUGUGUUGGAGUAGACUUAUCAGCAAGAUAGUCUGAUGUACCUGCUGGACAACUUACUCCCUGCCAAGCACCUUCUACACAAACAACAGCAGCAUGCCUGUAGUGUUGAGUCUGACUGAGUGUUUUGAGAGUGCCCUCUCUCUGUUGGAGGGUAAACUGCAGUCUAUGGACACAGCACCACUACCAGACUGUAUCAAG